ACGAAUAGUUGGAAGUUUGUAGCUUCUUUCUUAUACGCUCCUCCAAAUUCCCAAUCUUUAUACACUUCCAUUGUUAUGAUUCAAGCUACAAUCAAGUGAUAUCUUUAGUUCUAUCUAUAAUCAAAGCGAGAUCUUUAAUUCUUGCCCUCCAAUGUUAAAAGAGUUUUAAUGCAUAUCCUCAUACGGUUUUAAGGCGAUGACACAGGCAUGGAAUCGCUCUCAUCUUCAAUCAUUUGAACCAAUAAAAUCUCCAAGGUUAGUUCUUCAUCUCAUCACUCUACCUUGUUUGUCACUGAAACCAAUCAUCAAGGGAGUUGUGAAUCCCUCGGUUAGAUCUACUACUAGUGAGUGCAGAGUUUGGUGUAAAUGUAACUCUUCAUGCUAAGCAAGUUCUACUGUUGCGUUGAAGCUCAACUCUAGCCUUCAAAAUGUGCAGAUCCACUAUCCACAUAUGCUAUGACCAAAAUUAAGGGUCUAAGUUUCAGCUCUAUCUUGUUGAAGUUUUAUCUCCCUACAAAGUCUCAAUGGAUUGAACCCCAUUCAGGAUUAAUACCAUUAUUUAAGGCAUUCUUUGGACGAUUCUACCACAAUGAAAUUAGAGAAAAUCGAUGUUGCAUCCUUUUCUAGGUUUCUACAGUUUCACCUUGUUGAUGGCGAUUUUUAGCUGAAACUAGAAUUUUUAUUUGGUCCUAAAUGGACACCCUAAUCUCUCACCAUGUUUAAGUACAAAAAUCUGUGGAUGCACAUACCUCUGUUUGCUCUGUUAAUUAUGUAGAUGCCUCCUUAUGUAUGGUGUACCAUAUUUGGCUAGAUUAAAUAUCUUCUUCUAUGUGCUAUGAAUUUUUUGAAAUUGGUUAAUCUAAAUUCACCUACAAAGGAUAAAACUAAAUUAAUAAGAAAAUAUACAAGCGUAUUUCCUUUUUUAAGGGAAUGUUUACUCUUGUUAAACAUCUCUUCUCAAUCUCCUAUUGAUACUAAUCUCGUAUGCCACACUCCAUGACCCAUUCCAUUCUCCCUCCGACAUAUGCACCACAACUAAAGGGUAAGUCUGAAUAAUGACAAUUGCAAUUUCAUGCUCAAUAGAUUAAUUAAGAGUCUCCCUUGUAGCUCUAGGUUCCGCUACUAUGUUGGUUGUAUCAUAAUUCUGAAACCUUUAGGUACUACCAGAUUACCACUAUGAUUUAUGAUACAAAAUUCUGCUGAAUCCAUUGUUGCAUUACCGUAAAUUAGGAGGAUGAGGCUUCCAUCUUACAAUUUUAAAAGAGAAUUGAGGUUUGUAGUAUUCCAAUUCUGAGAGAAUACAAGGCCAAGAGUUGCUGCUUCAUUUCCCUUUUAAUCUCACGAGAAUAAAUCUUAAAAUUGUAUCAUUAAUACCCCAUAGCACUCUAAAUUCUUAAAAGGAACCUCCACCAAUAAUAGGAUUCAUUCGGUUCCACGGAAACUAUAAAAUAAUGUAAGGAUAGCUUGAAAAACUACCUUCACUCUAUAAAUGCCUUAUACUGCCUGCCACAACCUUAUGGACUGCUGCAAGUUUAGAAUAGGCCCCACAAUUCCCACCAUCUGUGAUUUAAUACUAACCCUACCCCAUUCAGCAGCAUGUGUUCUAGAAAUGGGAACCUCCUUUCCAUUGAACAAGGGCAUGUAUUUGCUUUCUAAAAUACUUCAUCCGUAUAAAUUUAAAUCAUAAUGUAGUUUCAAUUGUGGAAUAGCUGUUAAGUAUUUUUUUAGUAUUAGCUUGAAUAAGGAAAUAUUUUUAAGCACUUAUCAUAACUUGUGAUUUUUUUGGCUUAUAAGAAAAGAGAUAUAAUCUUAUACAAAUAGGCUCUUAGUAUUACCUCAUUCACUACACUAAUCUAGCAAGAGAAAAAAACUUUAAUAUCAAUAUGCUAUACAUAAUUCAGAAGUAUAAUGUGUUUAAUUUUAAGAACUUUAAAAUUUAACUAAUUAAAUUUAAAUUAUAAAUAUAAUUUGGGAAACAUUAAUAGAUUAAUUAUUGCUAGAAACACCCAAAAUGAGAGUUUCAAGUCCCAUAUAAGAUAAAGUAGGAAAUAUAAGUUAAAAAGUUAAAUUUAGAGAAAAGAAAAGAACAAAAUGGUCUGAGCAAAAUCUAUGAAGGCUUACAUAAAUAGGAAAUAAGAAGUAGUAUCAGUUUAUUUUGAGCUUACACAGGGGAUUUAGUUUCUCAAGCCUUCAUAUUUUUGGAUGAAGGUUAGAAAUUCAAUUAGUAGUAAAUCAGUAAUAGUAAUAUUUCCCAAUGUAAGAAAUUGUUGAUGCAAUUUUAGUUAGUUGCAACAUAAAUUUCUUAGUUACUACAUUCUGAUUUCUGUAUGAUUUAUUAAAAUAUAUAUUCUUUUAUUUGAUGUUUCAAGUUCUUAUUUGCCUGCCUUAUUUAUACUAGUUUCUCUUUUAAUGUAGCAACUUAUAAUGAUCCUAUUUUGUUUGGUUGAAAUUAUAUAUUUUGUUAUUAACAUCUAUGAUAGUAUAUUUUUCUAAUUUAAUACUGCUUUGAGUGUGAUUUAGUCACGAGAGUCUUGUAUUGGACUUUGUAAUCAAAAGCAUCAAUGGGAUAAGAAUAGUUGCAUGUAAGUAAGAAUCUAUAAAGCCUAAUACUUGCAACUUCAACUUCAUCAUUAAAAAAAAAGUAAAAAAAUUAAUUCAUCAUUAAUUUUAUACAGUGUUUUUUGUUGUCCCUUAUUUACUAUUUCUUUUAUUUCAUAUGAGAAAAAAUCAAUUCUGAAUUGGUGAUUUUCCUUUGCCAUUGAAAAUAGUAAGCAAUUAUGAUGUUUUCUUUUAAUAUGUAAAAUAUUUUUUUUAUAACGUUCAAGUUAAAUUUCUUAAAAUUUCAAAAAAUUGAAAAAUAACAAAAAAUAUUUCUAAUUUUCUUUCCAUUUCAUUUAACUCAUAAAAAGUUUAAAACAACUUCAGUUAAUAUCUUUUAUCGAAUACAAUUGCAUGCAAGGCAAUUGUAUUAAAAAUUUGCUCACUUUUUUCAAUAGAAGAGGAAAAUCACCAAUUAAAAAUUGGUUUUUAGGUCGGAUGAAAUAAGAGAAACAACAUAUAAGGGACAACAAAUAAUAAUAUAUCAAAUUGGUGAUGAAGUUGAAGUUACAAGUCAAGUAUUAGGCUUCAUAGGUUGUUACUUGCAUGCAACUAUUUCAUAUCCUAUUGGCGCUUUUCAUUACAAAGUACAAUUCAAGACUCUGGUGAUUGAUGAUGAAACAUAUUCAAUACAAGACUUUCAAAGGACAAUUUGAAUCGGAAAGUAUUUUGUCAUCAUAUACUUAGAGUUCAAAUAUUUGGCGAUACAAAUAAGAAUGAAAUUUGUAAAAAAAAAUUAUGUUGUGAAAAACUCUUUAACACAAGAAUUUGUGGAUGGUUGAAAUUGUGUAAAUAUAAAAGAAUGGUCAUUCUAAUUUACCUCUAUUGAGACUAGAAGGGAAAAAAAAGAGAGAAUUGUAGUUCUCUUAACGACUUAGUAUAAAAAGUCAAAACCUAAAAUAAAUUGUCCCCUAAAUUUAAUUAUUCAUAUUGUUUUUCUUUAACCUGUAUAAACUUUGCAAGAGGAAUAAUCAUAUUGAUUCAACAGAACAAAACUCCUCAAACCGCUGAUAUGAAGAGUUAUGCGGUAAGAAGACCUGAAAUGGUUGUUUAAUAUGAUGUGCUUAGAUAAGUAUGCUCUUAAUUCAUCAUACUAACGCUUUACCAUUUGAAAAUUUCAUAAGUCAAAAGGAAAAAAUGUCGAUCGAGGCAAAGAAGUGCAUUGAGACUGAUAAAUGGAUCAAUUGUACAAUGACAUUUAAUAGUACCAAGAACAUUAAGGUCUCAGAUAAACAAAGAGAAAGUUUUAGUUAAUUGUUUUAUCCAAGGAUUUGAGUUAGAAAUUGACAAAUUGGUCAAAAGACUGUUAAAGUCAUUAGAGCAUCAAUGCCGCAAACUAACUAACACUUUUGAACUAACAAUUUUCUAAUUCUUUCGCUCAACAAUGUGAUAAAGGAAAUGUUGUAUUACAAGUUAGAAAUAUGAAAAAUCAUAUCAAAAGUUCUCAAAAGUCUUCUGAUUUUUUUUGUGUUUCAUCACAGGCUAUUUGUAUUUUUUUCUUAUAAAUGUGAAAACUUCUAGUAAUGCGUCCGAUCGUUCCAUCAAUAGGAAAACAUCUCCUAAUUUUAAAAAUCAAGUGCAUUCCAUACCAAUAUUUCAUUCAAGUGCAAUACACAACAAUCUUUCAUUUAUGUGCAAUACACAACAAUCUUUCAUUCAUGUGCAGUACACACAAUCCUUUAUUCCUUACACCCAUAUGCUUAUCUUGGGAAAUAAGCACAAGUAUUUCAUACAUGUGCAAUAUGCACCAUAUUAAUGCUUUAGGUAAUACACCCCUAUCUUAUAUGAAUCAACAAGGACAAUACUUCCCAUUUGAAACUCUCAGGGCAAUAUGCCUUAUUGUCACUUUUCUUCCUAGGGUCAUCGUCCUUGUUUGUGAUUCUCAUAUCUUUUCUUUUCCUAAAAAAGCACGACAUGUUCAAAGUUUUCAUUUUUUAACAUUAUGUUUUUGUCUUCUAUCUCCACCUCAAUUCAAAUACAUGCACUUGAGAAGGAUCCUUAAUAUUCCAAGAGAUCAUGAAGAUCAAACUUAAGAAUGAAGCACAAAGAAAGUCAAAGAUCAACACACAACCCUAAGAAGACACAUCAAGUAGGGAUCUUGUUACUCCUUAAAUGUAGUGAACCAUAGUUCUCUAGGUCUUUUUAUAUUAUAAUUAUAGAUGAAAGAUGGUGACAAACAAUAACAAGCAAAUUUUUUACCACUAUUUUUGAGAGUUUCGGAGCUAUCAAAUUUUCACGAACUACACUGGUCUAAUUUCCUUCUAGCCAAGGAUAUAUGUAGGAAACCUGAAAAGCAAGGUUCAAUCAUAUAUUUUAAAACUGAUCUCAAUGGAGUUUCAAAUAAUAAUAAAAAAUUAGUCAUUUCAUUCACUUCCUUUGGUUCAAAAUCUCUCCAUUACUCCAAGUAAAGAGGGGCAUGUUUGAUUUUUAUCAAUGGCUUCUGCAGACCUUGGGAAUCACGCCGUAUAAAGGUCCCAUGUACUGUGAAGUAAAUUUUGGGUUUCUGAAAUCGGUUCUAUGGAUGUCCAAUAUAGACCAUAGGAAGUUCUACGGACCGUAGGUCCAAAUAGUAGGAACCCUUCGACAAUUAUUUUUAAGGGUAUUUCGGUCUUUUCCUAUACAAUAAAUGACUAUAAUUUUGUCGUUUGACCCCUAUUUGUAAGUCCUAUAACUAUCCUUCUACCCCUAAAACUAUCCAAAAACUCUCAUUGACUCAAAUUCCCAAUUCACAUCCACGUUCAUCUUCCUCAACUCUCUCUCUCUCAAGUUCAAGAAAGAAGAAGCUGGUAUUUUCAAAUCAAGUGUUCCUUUUCACCAUUGCUUUUGGGCUUUUAUCCUCAAGGAAUGUUGAUUUCAUCAAUGGGCUCAAUUCACCCAUUGAGUCCUAAGGGUUUCUCAAUUUUCCAAGUUCAUUUUCAUCAAUUUGAUUAGGUUUUCAUUCAAUACCUCAUGAUUUCUAAUGGUGUUGAUUAAAUUGUUUGAUUUUGAUCCUUGUAUGAUGGUUUUGGUCAAUUACAUGGUUUUCAAUUUAUAUCACAUAAACCCAUAUAUUGAUCAUGAUUUUUACUAUGAACUUUCAAAUACAUGAAUUUAUGAAGAAAUUAUGAAUCUAUAAAUGAUGUUUUUAUGAAGGUUAUGCAUCAUUAUGAAAACAAAGGUUUUAUGAUUUAGGUUGUUUUAAUAUAAGCAUCAAUGAAAUUGCGAAAUGAAUUUUUCACAUACAAAGGAAUCAUGAUUUGUGAAAUCUCACACAUGGUUGAUUCAAGAUUUAGUGAGUUAAUCUAUGAUAUUUUAAACAUACCUGAGUAGUUUUCUCCUAAGGAGGAAUAAAGGAAUAAAGUAGAAAGGGAAUAUUUUAAUACGCAAGAACAAGGAGAAAAGAAGAGGAAAGAAGGAAUAGAAAGCGAAUUGUCGUGUCGCUUUUUGUAUCACACACACACGCGUGCAUGCACAGGCACACGCACACACACAAUUGUCUCUUUUAUUACUCAUUAUAUGUUUUUCUCUUAUACUUGUAAUAGUAAUAAAAUUAAAAUGGGACAGACAUAUCCCUAAACUAGUAUAACUAAAGAUUGAACCUAAGCAAAAUAAUAUACAAGGCAGUACCAUUAGGGAUUCAUCAAAAACAAUUUCCACACAAGAAUUAAGAAUGUCUAGCCAUCUCUUAAAGAUGAUAGGGAAGUAUUGAGAAUGUGUGGCAAGCUUCCCCAUAACUCCCGAAAUUAUGGAAACUGCUUUUCCAAAAGGUACUCAUAUAGAAAUUAUCAAUAAUAUAUUAACCCUAAGUUAGUAGUAUAAAUAGCGGGAAACAAUUUGUAAAUAAUUAACAAACAAUCAUGCAAUUUUCACAAAAACCUCAUAUUCUACUCCUACUCUUUCCUUCGUCUAAGACCCGUUUAAGAUUUUUCUUUUUAUGAACAUUCAAUGUACCUCAUACUUGCUAACCAUGUACGAAUGAGGAUUGAGGUGUGUGAAUAUGAUUGACGCCUGAGAAAAAAUUUGGUUGAUUGUGCUGAUGUUUGUAGGAGUUGGAUCAAAACACUGAAAGAAAUUGUCAAAGCACAAAAUUUACGAAAAAUUAACGUUCCCAACUCCUUGAAGAAGAUUUGACUCUUGAUUUUUAUGCCUUUGUAUUGUUGUUGUUUUACUUGUGUUAGUUUGACUGACGGUAGUUAUUUGCAUUGGGGAUGAACCAUAUAGUUGAGGUUUAUAUCUUCCAGUAUUAUUUGUCCAUAACUACCUUCAGUCAAACUAACACAUAGCAAAACAACAAUAAUGCAAAGAAGUAAUAAUUGAGAGUAGAAACUACUUCAAAGAGAUGGGAAGAUCAAUUUUCUACAUAUUUCAGGAGCUUUGACAAUUUCUUUCAUUAUUUCUCUCCAACUCAUACAAACACUAGAACAAGCAACCACAUUUUUUCUGAUGCGAAUCAAAGUAAGACGUCUCAAUCCUCAUUAGUACAUAUUCAACAACUAUGGAGUACAUUAGAUUUUGAUAAAAACAGAAAGAUGAAAUGGGUCCUAAAGAAAGGUGGGAGUAGGAAUAGAAUAUGAGGCUUUUGUGAAGAUUUAUUGAUUCUUUCUUAAUUAUUUUACUAAUGGUUGCCCCUCUAUUUUUAUACUACUAACUUGGGGUUAAUAUACCAUUAAUAAUUGUUAUGUGUGUAUCUAAUAGUAGUGUUGUCAUAAGUGCGGGAAUUGUGGGGAAGCUUGUCACAAAUCCUCUACACUUCCCUAUCAUCUUUAAGAGAUAGUUAGAUACACAAUUCUUGUGUGGACAAUGUUUUUGAUGAGUACAGCCUUUUAUAUUAUUUUUCUUAGCUUCAAUAUUUAAGUUAUACUAGUUUCUGGAUAUUUGUGUUCCACCUUGUGUCCCAUGUAAAUUUUCUUAGGAUUACAAGUCUAAGGAAAAAGCAUAUAAUCAGUGAUAAAAACAACAAUCAUAUCAUUUAUAUUUAUAUAUAAAAGAGGGUCCUAGACCUAGUGACGUGAUGCAACCAGAAUACGAGAAUUAGAUUUAUCUUUUCAUAUAUGUUUUAUCAAUUCCUUCACAAUAUUUUUUUUACAAUUCCUCCAAGGAGGUUCAAUACAAAAAGUGACACCACAGUUGUCUUUCUAUUCCUUCUUCUUUCUUUCUGCUCUCCCUAUUCUUGCGUAUUGAAAUAUACCCUCACUGUUUCCUUCCUUCAUUCCUCCUCUGGAGCAAAAGACUCAAGUAUGCUUAAAAUAUCACAGAGUAGUUCAUCAAAUCUUGAAUCAGACAAACACCUUUCACUAAUCAUGAUUCCUGAAUAUGUGACAAAAUCAUUAUACAAUUUCUUAUAUGCUUAUGUUAAAUUAAUAUAGACCCUUUCUUUUCAUGAUCAUGCACAAUCUUCAUGAAAACAUCAUUUAUAGGUUUAUAGUUUCUUAUAAAUAUGUAUUUGAAAGUUCAUAGUAAAAAAUGAUGAUAAAUGUAUCGCUUCAUGUGAUUUGAAUUGGAACGCAUGUAAUUGAAUCAAAAUCAUCAUAAUAAGAUCAAAAUCAAACAAUUGAAUCAACACAAUUAGAACCCAUGGGGAAUCGAAUGAAAACCUAAUCAAUUGAUGAAAAUGAACUUGGUGAAUAGAGAAACCUUUGGGCUCAAUGAGUGAAUGAAACUCAAUGAUGAAGCCCUACAUACUUUGAUAAUCAAAUUCCUAAAGAAAUUGUGAAAAAGAAGACUUGAUUUGGAAACCCUUGCUUCUUUUCCUUCAACUUGAGAGAGAGUUGAGGAAGUUGAAUGCGGAUGUAAAUUGAGAAUUCAAAGAAAUAAGAGAGUUGGCGUAGUUUUAGGUGUAGAAGGGAUGUUAUAUGAAUUAGCAAUUGGAAUAAAACAACAUAGUAUAGGAAUUUAAUGCAUCUGAAGAGAUCAAAUACCCUUAAAAUAAUUGUCAGAGAGUUCCUAUUGUUUGGACCUACGAUUCAUAUAAUUUCCUAUUGUAUGUAUUGUUCAACCUUAAAACCAACUUCACUAAGUCUGAAACCUUCCUGCAGAACCCACCUACGGCUCGUCAACCUUCGUAAGAUUCGUCCAAUUCAUUCGCAGGUCAAACCUCAGAAGCUUGAAAUUCCAAAACUCACCCCAAGUCUACAACUUUCCUCCUACGUCCCGUAGAUAUUCCUACGGUUCGUAGCUUGGAUCCUGCUUCAGUGCUAAAAAUCUAAAAUUUCUUUCUCCCUUCGACUUCCAACUUCUGAAGUAUUACUGUCAUAGUGUGGAAUGUACGAUGAACAUUAUAGAAGAGAUUUAUUAUUUGUGCAAAUAAUAUUUAUUUAAAUAUUCUUAUAUUAUAUUUAUUUAUGUUAUAUAUUACUAAAAGUGGAAACAAAAAAUUUAAGUUAAAAUAUCAAAAUAACCCUAUAAAGUUGAGUAACUACAUUAAUACCAUUAAAACAAUAAGUAAUUUUUUUCUAAGAAAAUCCAAAAUCUAAAUUAUUCAUUUAUGACAAUGUAAAAAACUAUUUCAUGAUAAAUAUUAGUAACAAUUAUUAAAUAAAUUAACAAUGCCGUUACAUCUUUUCUACUUCUUUGCGUUUUCGUAUUAGUUUUUGCUGUCACUUUUUACUCUCUUUUUUGGCAUAAUUUCUCGUUUACUUAUUGAUUUUAGAUUUCUUUUUUUCUUGCUGGUUUAACACUUAUAUAUUUGUGUUAAUUUCUCUGCUCUUUAUUCAUUUUUUUAUUUAUUAAUUUUCUCCUUUAUUUGCAUUAAGUAUUCAUUUUCAUAGCUCGUAUACAAUUAUUUAUUUAAUUACUAUUCUUACUAUUUAUAACUCUCAUGUUUUUCAUAUCCAUAACCUUUAACUAUUUAUUUAAAGCUUUAACAGAUCUUUUGAUAUUCUCCAUUUUUAUAUAUCUAAUUGAUCUUUUUUUUUUUUGGUUUCAUGAGACCCUUAUCAUGGUCACCCUUUCCAUUCAAUAGCUAUAAUGGUGAAGCGCUUUUCAGUGUUGUAUAAUUUGAUUCAUGCUUUACUUUGAAUUGAUGAAGAAGACUUCGAUUUUUAUUGGUUGUAUGAGCACUGUCAACAACAACUCAAAAAGUUAUAUGUACAAAUUCUUUAUAUUUCUUUUUUUUUCAUCUGUAUUGUUAUUAUUAAAUUCCAUAAAAUGAUAUGUAUGUUGCUUUUUUUGUUUACUUGUUAUGUGUUUCUCUACUAAACUUAAUCAACUAGCAAAUACAAGUGUAGUAAGAACUGGUGGAAAGCGGAUCAUUUCCUGAGCAGGCACAAUAACAUCCAGUAUGUUGGUCCUGAUAUAAUAACUUAGAUAUCAAAGUUUUAUAUAUACAUAUGUCUCUGACCAAACACAAGAUUUACACAAGUAGACUUCUCCUGAAUCACCAUGAGGUGUCUCGGAGAAUAUCCACACGUGUGGUUUGGUUCAUUCGUAAGGCCAAAUUGUGUUUAAGGAAACAUUCAUGUUAAUGGCAUCGUUAUUUUGUCUCAGCCAUGGUGUUGUGUUUAUUUUAGUGGCUUGUUAUACUAUAAAUUAAAAGUGUCGAACUUUUGAAAGUACUCAUAUGUUUUUGUUAGAAUGUUCUAUAUCUAUUCACAUCAAAAACAACCUCUAUACCUCAGACAAGAUGGGGUGUUUUGUGUACGCCUCACUUUUUCAUAAGCGCACUCAUGAGAUCACAUUGGUCAUGGUGUUAUUUGUUCUAGAUCUAAUCAUACUUUUUGAGAUAAUAUUUCUUACCUGCAUUUCUUUUAAAAUUUAUUCACUUAACUUAAGGAAAUGUGUCUAAUUUAUAUGGUGAAAUUUGUUUGUUUAAAUGUCAAUUGUUACUUUUAAAGAAAAUUCGUUAAUAUUAUUUCACUCUGACAUACCCUAUUGUUCUGUAAUUUGGUAAAUUACAACAACUUAGAAAAUGCACAAGGUUGAACAUACCAUAUUUACUUGUAAAUAUGUUACUCUUUCUGCUAUGGAAACUGGACAACCAGCACUUUCCAUUAUCUCAAGUAAAAUAGGAAUUGAGACUUCGCAUUCUCCAUAAAUCAUUUGGAAUAAUAUGCUUGCGUAUCAUCUUGGUUGUUAAAAGAUUAGCUCUCUAGAUUUUAAAAUUAAAUUCAGCAUACAUUCGUCAAAUGUUUAUGUCCUUGACCAUUGCAGGUGCAUUAAACUACUACGCUUCGUCAACACACUGCUAGCCUUGCAAUCACAAUAUGUGUAUUAGUGACGCUAGGCUGUUGUAAUCUGCCUUGACUUUGUCAAUUGCUAGCCCUUACACUAAGAAUAUAUGAAGUCUUUGUUGGGUUUUAUUUGCCCUGAUUUCUUACCAUAAAUAGGUUUUCCUUUUAGAAAAAUAUUUUGGAUUGACUAAUCCUUUUAUCUAGUAGGAAAAAGUUUAGGACUCUAUAAAUAGAAGAGUGUUCCUUCUAACUUAAUCAGCAUUUACAAUGUAGUCUUAAAGGGCUUUGAGAGUUUUGGUUAGGGGGUGAAUUUUUGGGUCACAAGCUUGAUACGUUAUCACUUCUGUGAACCUCUCAUGUAUUCCGAGUGAAUUGGUUAAGGUUGUUUCUCUCUGUAUUUUGUACUCUCAUAUUUAUGGUGGAUUGCUUAUCUCCUUUAUGGACGUAGGUCGAUUGACCGAACCACGUUAAAUCUUUGUGACUUUUGGUAUAUUUCUCGUUGUCUUCUUACUCGAGGUCUUUUGAGGUUUGUUUUGCAG
Molecule: long non-coding RNA, 11284 nt
Filed under: Solanum lycopersicum (tomato)
Lineage: Eukaryota; Viridiplantae; Streptophyta; Magnoliopsida; Solanales; Solanaceae
Description: long non-coding RNA (SLYC_LNC000627)
Source: RNAcentral